RNAcentral lists this ribosomal RNA (1605 nucleotides) under Salmonella enterica. RNAcentral describes it as "bacterial LSU rRNA". It matches the Rfam family "Bacterial large subunit ribosomal RNA", at positions 1225 to 2812 of the family's 2925-position model. The record is from RNAcentral. Lineage: Bacteria; Pseudomonadati; Pseudomonadota; Gammaproteobacteria; Enterobacterales; Enterobacteriaceae.
UGGGUAGGGGAGCGUUCUGUAAGCCUGUGAAGGUGGCCUGUGAGGGUUGCUGGAGGUAUCAGAAGUGCGAAUGCUGACAUAAGUAACGAUAAAGCGGGUGAAAAGCCCGCUCGCCGGAAGACCAAGGGUUCCUGUCCAACGUUAAUCGGGGCAGGGUGAGUCGACCCCUAAGGCGAGGCCGAAAGGCGUAGUCGAUGGGAAACGGGUUAAUAUUCCCGUACUUGGUGUUACUGCGAAGGGGGGACGGAGAAGGCUAUGUUGGCCGGGCGACGGUUGUCCCGGUUUAAGCGUGUAGGUGUGUGUUCCAGGUAAAUCCGGUUCACUUUAACACUGAGGCGUGAUGACGAGGCACUACGGUGCUGAAGUAACAAAUGCCCUGCUUCCAGGAAAAGCCUCUAAGCAUCAGGUAACAUCAAAUCGUACCCCAAACCGACACAGGUGGUCAGGUAGAGAAUACCAAGGCGCUUGAGAGAACUCGGGUGAAGGAACUAGGCAAAAUGGUGCCGUAACUUCGGGAGAAGGCACGCUGACACGUAGGUGAAGUGAUUUACUCACGGAGCUGAAGUCAGUCGAAGAUACCAGCUGGCUGCAACUGUUUAUUAAAAACACAGCACUGUGCAAACACGAAAGUGGACGUAUACGGUGUGACGCCUGCCCGGUGCCGGAAGGUUAAUUGAUGGGGUCAGCGCAAGCGAAGCUCCUGAUCGAAGCCCCGGUAAACGGCGGCCGUAACUAUAACGGUCCUAAGGUAGCGAAAUUCCUUGUCGGGUAAGUUCCGACCUGCACGAAUGGCGUAAUGAUGGCCAGGCUGUCUCCACCCGAGACUCAGUGAAAUUGAACUCGCUGUGAAGAUGCAGUGUACCCGCGGCAAGACGGAAAGACCCCGUGAACCUUUACUAUAGCUUGACACUGAACAUUGAGCCUUGAUGUGUAGGAUAGGUGGGAGGCUUUGAAGUGUGGACGCCAGUCUGCAUGGAGCCGACCUUGAAAUACCACCCUUUAAUGUUUGAUGUUCUAACGUGGACCCGUUACCCGGGUUGCGGACAGUGUCUGGUGGGUAGUUUGACUGGGGCGGUCUCCUCCUAAAGAGUAACGGAGGAGCACGAAGGUUGGCUAAUCCUGGUCGGACAUCAGGAGGUUAGUGCAAUGGCAUAAGCCAGCUUGACUGCGAGCGUGACGGCGCGAGCAGGUGCGAAAGCAGGUCAUAGUGAUCCGGUGGUUCUGAAUGGAAGGGCCAUCGCUCAACGGAUAAAAGGUACUCCGGGGAUAACAGGCUGAUACCGCCCAAGAGUUCAUAUCGACGGCGGUGUUUGGCACCUCGAUGUCGGCUCAUCACAUCCUGGGGCUGAAGUAGGUCCCAAGGGUAUGGCUGUUCGCCAUUUAAAGUGGUACGCGAGCUGGGUUUAGAACGUCGUGAGACAGUUCGGUCCCUAUCUGCCGUGGGCGCUGGAGAACUGAGGGGGGCUGCUCCUAGUACGAGAGGACCGGAGUGGACGCAUCACUGGUGUUCGGGUUGUCAUGCCAAUGGCACUGCCCGGUAGCUAAAUGCGGAAGAGAUAAGUGCUGAAAGCAUCUAAGCACGAAACUUGCCCCGAGAUGAGUUCU